Molecule: long non-coding RNA, 1349 nt
Filed under: Mus pahari (shrew mouse)
Lineage: Eukaryota; Metazoa; Chordata; Mammalia; Rodentia; Muridae
Description: RIKEN cDNA 9230112E08 gene (MGP_PahariEiJ_G0033085.1)
Source: RNAcentral
UACAGGGCAGUCCACCCGAGAGUCAGAGCAGAGAGGAGCACUGAGCUGCGCGUGAAUACACACAGGUAUUUGAAGAUUCCUGUGAGCUACAUCCACAGAUAUAUGUACCCAGAGAUUACCAUUACCACCUUUAUCUGACCAUGGGAGGGUCUGUAAGGACUGUGACCCUACAUCUCACAUCAUGGGUUGAAAGACCAAACUGAGGCUGCACUGGACCCAUGGGAACCCUAGAGUGGCUGGGUCAUAAGCCAUACCUUCAGGUGGGAGAAAGGGGCCUUUUAUCCCUGGCCUGGUCUACUGGGCCACCUUGCCAAAAGUUACAGGGUGAGACCAUGGGGUUUUCAAGAUGGGUCACGAGAGCUUCAUUGAGAGCAGAGCUUUCCCAACCUAUGCAGGCUGGAGCGGCUCAGGAAGGUGUAAGUAGUGUGGGCAUGGGCCUGCUCCUAGUUUUAGGGUGGACAGGAAGGAAGGGAAUAGAGGUUGUAGACCCCAGCCCCAAGUGAUUGGUAGUCCAAAUGGUCCUUCCCCCAAAUAGGCUGGUCAGAGGCCCUCAAUGCCCAGCACCCAGGACUACACACACUGGCCUUUAUUCUCAAGAAGCCUCUGGGACCUCCUCUGUGGGACAGACUUGCAGUUCCCCACUACUCCUGGUGGGAUUCCCAGAAGAGUGUGAAAUGGGUCCUUUGUGCUGGGACCACCAUCUCAUUCUUGAAAACAAGCCCCAAGCAGCAGCAGAUAAAAGGGAGGGGGAAAGACUUAAGGGCGGGCCUAGUGGUGACAUCAGGGAAGGGAACCUUCUCUAAGUUCCAGCCUUGUCACAGACCAAGAAGCACUGGAAACUGAAGAACACUAUCCUUGGAGCAGGAGGUUAGUGACUCAUUUAUGGCCCUGGGGUUUGGUGCAUGAGGGCCUACCAGAGAAUCCACUGGGGAGAGACUGGGGAAAGUGAUAAGGCCCCACAAGUUGAGGGACUCAAGUGUAGCCUGGAGACCUGAGCAUCUUCAGAUCCUAUGAGGGUUUCAGAUGACACUUGGAACUAAGGACAUACGAAAAGGGCUGGUGGGCAGCAGAGAGAACUUAUGUCCAUCAGCUGUGACCACCCUGGCUGUGAAGUAGGGAGGGGUCUGGCUUCAGAGUGAGUCCAGAAGGGAGGGAGGGCCAUCUGUGGCACUUCGUAGGCAGAUGGGGCAGCAGUUCAUAGCACUGACACCUUAGUUUAAAUUUUCUGGAUGGAUGUGUAUAUAUACACUCUAGAGCAGUGGUUCUCAAUUUUCCUAAUGCUGUGGCCCUUUAAGAAGUUCUGCAUGGUGUGGCGAACCUCAAUCAUGAAAUUAUUUUUGUUGCUACCU